GGACGGCUCAGUAACACGUGGCUAACCUACCCUCGGGUGGGGGAUAACCUCGGGAAACUGAGGAUAAUACCCCAUAGGAGAAGAGGCCUGGAAUGAUCCUUCUCUGAAAACAUAUGUGCCCGAGGAUGGGGCUGCGUCUGAUUAGGUAGUUGGUGGGGUAACGGCCCACCAAGCCUACGAUCAGUACGGGCCUUGAGAGAGGCAGCCCGGAGAUGGGGACUGAGACACGGCCCCAGGCCCUACGGGGCGCAGCAGGCGCGAAACCUCCGCAAUGCACGAAAGUGCGACGGGGGGACCCCAAGUGCUUACGCACUGCGUAGGCUUUUCUAAAGUGUAAAAAGCUUUAGGAAUAAGGGCUGGGCAAGUCCGGUGCCAGCAGCCGCGGUAACACCGGCGGCCCGAGUGGUGACCACUUUUAUUGGGCCUAAAGCGUCCGUAGCCGGUCCAGUAAGUCCCUGUUUAAAUCCUACGGCUUAACCGUAGGGCUGGCAGGGAUACUGCUGGACUUGGGACCGGGAGAGGGCGAGGGUACUUCAGGGGUAGCGGUGAAAUGUGUUGAUCCCUGGAGGACCACCUAUGGCGAAGGCACUCGCCUGGAAC
This 600-nucleotide ribosomal RNA is filed under the name uncultured archaeon. RNAcentral describes it as "bacterial SSU rRNA". It matches the Rfam family "Archaeal small subunit ribosomal RNA", at positions 83 to 686 of the family's 1478-position model. The record is from RNAcentral.